CCUACGGGGGGCUGCAGUGGGGAAUAUUGGUCAAUGGGGGCAACCCUGAUCCAGCCAUGCCGCGUGUGUGAAGAAGGCCCUCGGGUUGUAAAGCACUUUCAGUGAGGAAGAACGCCUGGUGGUUAAUACCCAUCAGGAAAGACAUCACUCACAGAAGAAGCACCGGCUAACUCCGUGCCAGCAGCCGCGGUAAUACGGAGGGUGCGAGCGUUAAUCGGAAUUACUGGGCGUAAAGCGCGCGUAGGUGGCUUGAUAAGCCGGUUGUGAAAGCCCCGGGCUCAACCUGGGAACGGCAUCCGGAACUGUCAAGCUAGAGUGCAGGAGAGGAAGGUAGAAUUCCCGGUGUAGCGGUGAAAUGCGUAGAGAUCGGGAGGAAUACCAGUGGCGAAGGCGGCCUUCUGGACUGACACUGACACUGAGGUGCGAAAGCGUGGGUAGCAAACAGGAUUAGAUACCCUUGUAGUC
Molecule: ribosomal RNA, 465 nt
Filed under: Vreelandella stevensii
Lineage: Bacteria; Pseudomonadati; Pseudomonadota; Gammaproteobacteria; Oceanospirillales; Halomonadaceae
Description: partial 16S ribosomal RNA
Rfam family: Bacterial small subunit ribosomal RNA
Source: RNAcentral